Small nucleolar RNA from Bos mutus (wild yak), 130 nucleotides. Lineage: Eukaryota; Metazoa; Chordata; Mammalia; Artiodactyla; Bovidae. The record is from Ensembl.
ACUAGAGACUAGAGUCACAUCCUGACAGCUCUUGUCCUAGUGUGCUAGAGUCCUUAGAGAAAAUGUGCUGUUCUUGGUUCACUGGUGAGGGCGAUCAUUGCCCCCAGGAGUGCUCAGAUUAGAUACAUGC